Pseudopipra pipra is the source of this 2680-nucleotide long non-coding RNA. RefSeq lists it as uncharacterized. The record is from RefSeq and is a predicted model, not a curated record. NCBI's taxonomy places the organism in Eukaryota, Metazoa, Chordata, Aves, Passeriformes, Pipridae. The transcript has 3 exons.
CCCAUACUCACUGACAUGUGAGGAGCAAGGGGUUACUUAAGUGAAAUGUCCUGACCAGGCACUGCCAGCACACAAACACCCCCUAAGGCUGACAUCACCCAACCAAGAUAGCAGCUCAGGGACAGACCUCAUCAAAGGAUGGCCUCGGUCUCCAGCACCUCAGAUGACACUUCCAAGACUCUGACCCUCCACUCCAUUAUCUGUGAGGUCAUCAGCUGAGAAAUAUUCCUGACUUGGCCAAAGGGAUCCCACAGCAGACCUGCUCUGGCAUUGGGAAGAGCCUUCAAAUCAACUAUUAAGAUGUUCAGAGACCUGAAAAACAAAGCUUUCCUAUGCCUCUAGAAGAGGGUACAAAGGAUGCCUAGCGUUGCCAGAAAGAUCCUGCACAGUGUGGAUGUGGGUCUGCCAAGCUGGGGCAGAGGAGACAUAAGACACAAAUCUGGCCUGAAGAAGCACAGUGAAAAACAUCACCAGGUCAGACUGACAGAUGUCUUGGUGAAGAGAGGUAGUAUGCCAAUGAAAUAGGCUCUCUUUGGUAGAGGCUGCACACAGAUCUGCUCCUUGCAGCCCAGCAAACCUGGAAGAUGUACGCUUGGAGGUGAGGUGCACAGUGGUGUCUGCUCUUCUGCCGCACAAGAUGGGAAGUUCACUCUCUUAGUGGCAGUUGAGCAGUAUUAGUGGUCCUCACAUUACUCCUGGUCAAAACCUCCGGUUUAAAAUGUCCUUUUUGAGAAUUUUUAGUCAAAAGGGAGUUUUCCUUAAGAACUGAUGCCUUCUACCUCCUGUGGUGUUUCCAGUGGGUGGUUAAAAAUGGAAAAGGGACUGGAUAGCUGGAGGGUCCAGUCUCCUCAAGUCUUUGGUUUUUGCUCCCUCUUGGGAUGGGUCAAGAGUCUCCCCCUGUAAUGGAGGUAAUCAGUUGAUUCUCUGGUGCCAGUGUGGUAUUAGUCGAGCUCUUUAAAGAGUUGCCACCUGCAGAGCAACACUACAGUUGCUAAAAAAUUGCCCUUUGGGAUCCAAGACCUGGAAUUGACUUCUUUUUCCUACACAGAAGAAAGCUUCUAGCAGGUUGUGGAGAUGGCACACACAUUGUGUCUAAGGUGCAGUGCUGCCACUUGGAGGACAGUCACCUCCAUGCAGAACCCAGAUAAUCUUCAGUCAUUCCAAACAUACAGAAUGGUUUUAUUUUCCUCUGUCACUUCUUGUCACAGGUCUGUUCUGGAGUCAGUAUGGCCAAAGGAUUGUUCGGGUAAACUAUUUCAUAUAUAGACUUUGAUGCUUCUAUUAAGAUAAUGGGUGAAGGCUGCCAUCAAGAUCAAGGGCUGCAUUGUUCUGCAUGCUGUACAGUAUGUAUACUAAAUUCUGUAUCUGCACGCUAGGAUACACCCACUGUCUCGAAAAUCUUACAGUCUAAGUAGACACUUGAAUGGGGAAGGAGACAGAGGCAUGUGAAAGAGGAAUAAUUUAUCCAUGAUCAAAGACUAAGCUGGAAUUACAAGAGCCGGUGUCCUGGGUGGGAUCUGUUAUCUCCUUUGAGCAUAACCACCUACCAAUCACCGACACAGUCUGUAAAUGCUCAUAAUAAAAAGCAUCCCAGAAACAAGCCACGCGUAAUUUCUGAGGACAUUCUGUUCUUUCUCUGGUUACAAUCCAUGGGCGGGUAAGGGCUGUUCCAGCAGCUGCAUGCAAGGCUUCAGACGUAGCAACAGCAAGUGGACCGUGGCUGUAAGAAUGACUCCUGUCAUAUGCAAUCAUCUACCAGCACACCCUGUGGUGCUAAUGAAAAAAUCCUUUCACAAAGUGCACUGUGUGCAUUAUUAGAUGAAGUAAGAGCUGAGCCAGCGUCGCCAUCCCUCAGUCGGACGGGGAACUGCAGGGGCAAUGGGUCGGAGGUUGGUGCCUGCAGUACCACAGUGCAUUACAGAUUCCUCUUUGGUCACCUUGAUGGCCUGAGGUCUGACUCAUGUUGCCAUACUUCUGACAAAUGUGAAGAGGAAGAGUUGGACUCUGUCUCCAAACAGGUACUGUGAUGUAAUCAGACAACACAAAGUCUGGGAGUUAGCACAUCUUUCACAGUGGCAACAGCUCAGAUGUACCACGUGAGAUAACAUUUUGCUGCUUGGAUCUGGGCAAGUCACUAUCUCUGCCUUGCCUCAGUUACCAGUCUCUAGUCAACAGCUGACACAUCGUAAGUGUACUGAGAGUUUGCAGUAGACCAUGUCCUGGGAUGCUGCAGUGAUGGAGGUGAGAUAAGGAAGACUUUGUAAAACAUUCAUACAAAGCAAACUUGACUGCUGUCAGCUAUGGCAAAUGAAUGUAACUGGCCAGAACCAAGUUUGUCACCAUGCAUUGACUCCCCUCAGCAGCACCUGACCAGCAUGAAGCCAUCUUUCCUACCUGUGAAUCAGUGGUGGCACUCAGAAAAGGUUUAUUAUUUCUAGCCACAAUUCUCUUUCCUUCACCCUCUGGAUCUGAUUUUUAGGACUCAGGGAAAAUCUUGCUUGGUACACAGGUCAUGCUCUUAGCCUGUAACCAAAAUAUCUGGUCCAUUUAGACUGGAAAAGAAACAUCUCCUUCAGAGAGUGUUGCGCUUCAAUAAAGAACCUCUUUGUGGUGGACCUCAUCAGUGAUGAAACCUUGUCCUGACUGGCAGAAUGAAAGCCAAGGGGCUUGUCCCCAGCAG